This 465-nucleotide ribosomal RNA is filed under the name Vreelandella stevensii. Its description in RNAcentral is "partial 16S ribosomal RNA". It matches the Rfam family "Bacterial small subunit ribosomal RNA", at positions 338 to 795 of the family's 1533-position model. Lineage: Bacteria; Pseudomonadati; Pseudomonadota; Gammaproteobacteria; Oceanospirillales; Halomonadaceae. The record is from RNAcentral.
CCUACGGGAGGCAGCAGUGGGGAAUAUUGGACAAUGGGCGAAAGCCUGAUCCAGCCAUGCCGCGUGUGUGAAGAAGGCCUUCGGGUUGUAAAGCACUUUCAGUGGGGAAGAAAGCCUUGGGGCUAAUACCCUCGAGGAAGGACAUCACCCACAGAAGAAGCACCGGCUAACUCCGUGCCAGCAGCCGCGGUAAUACGGAGGGUGCGAGCGUUAAUCGGAAUUACUGGGCGUAAAGCGCGCGUAGGCGGUCUGAUAAGCCGGUUGUGAAAGCCCCGGGCUCAACCUGGGAACGGCAUCCGGAACUGUCAGGAUAGAGUGCAGGAGAGGAAGGUAGAAUUCCCGGUGUAGCGGUGAAAUGCGUAGAGAUCGGGAGGAAUACCAGUGGCGAAGGCGGCCUUCUGGACUGACACUGACGCUGAGGUGCGAAAGCGUGGGUAGCAAACAGGAUUAGAUACCCUAGUAGUC